CAGUCAUGGAGCGAAUGGCCGGCCAGGGACUGGGCCCCAUGCUGUCUGGCUGCAGAGCACACAUCCUUAAUCCUCACGCGAUACAACCUCUGAUGUCUCUGAGAAGUGAAUGACUCCCCAGAGUUGGGGAGAGGAGCGUGGGAAGGCAGGGCCAAGAUUGGGAGUUCAAAAAGAAUAUUGACUGAUUAACCAAAAAAUGCACAUCAAAGCUUUAAAUAAAUAAUAAUAAGACAAACAUUGACAAUACUUUCUUUAGGGGAGUUGUUGGCAUGGUUUGGGGCUCACCCUCUUGUGGCUGCUUGUGCUACAUCUAGAUGAGGAAAAUGACUGAACUGUAAUCUUUCCAGACCUCUCCAAAAGUGAUGUCAAUCACUGAGGGAUCCCAAUCACUGAAGGAUCCCUUCAGCCGCAACAACUGGUGUGGAACUGAUUCCUGGCUCCCAGGCCUAUGAGAUAAACAUCCUCUCGAUCUUGUUUAGCAUAAACACUGACCUGAAAUUGAGUAGGCCAAUGGAAGUUGAGUCAUGACAUAUUUAUUAAGCCUAGCACUGGCUAUGACACUCAGAGGAGCAUCAAAUUAAUUCAAGACACAUUUCUUGCCCUUAAGGGCUUACAGCAUUGGUUUGGCUAGUGGACCACCCAACAUCCAUUAGGAUGGAGAAACCAAAUCUCCACUUUGGGCUCAUUGUAUUGCACAAGUGACAGGCCAGGAGAUGAAAAGGGCCUCUGUGCAUGUGGAACGCACGCGUGGCCUGCAGCCCCUCAGCCUGUGUGCAUUAACUCCCCGAGAAGCCUGGCUGCAGAGUGAAGGUAGUUGUUUGUGCAUAAACAUUGUCAUUUCAGUGGGACUGCUAUUUCAUCUUUGAACCUUGGCUUCAAAGGAACACUGACCUUAUUCCUGUAGCUUGCCUUUCUUUGAAGCGUAUGGCUUUGCAUUGCAGAUUAAAGUGAAGACAUUCAUUAAGGAACAGAUCUGGCCCACCACGCCCCAAACUCAACCUGAAACAAAGCCUUGAAAGGCUCCAAUCACAGUUGCAGCAGAGUGGGCUGAAGAUGAAGGCUCAAAGCAGGGUGCUCUUUCUUAGAUCCUAUAAGGCAGCUCUGGCAUGACGUAGUGCAUCCCUCUGAGCUCUGGACAAACUUACCCUGAGAAUCAGUCUAUCUCGGCAGAAAGGGAUCUUCAACUGUGAUCAAACAGUGUAAGUUCUGUCUGGGAUGAAGUGGUGAACCAAUCCAGAGGAAGGAAGGAAAUGAUUGUAAAGUCAGCUGGAGGAACUGAAGUUCAGAGAAGUCACUUGCUCAGGGUUGAACAGAUAAGUUAAGUCACCUGCCUAAGGCCACACAGCGAGUAAGUAGUAUCCCAUGAGUCAAAUCCAGGCAGCCACUUUCAGUUUAUGUCCUUAACCACUGCACCAUGCAGCUGCCCUAGAUUGGAUUUUCAUUUCCUUUUCACACAGACUAUGCAACAAGAGACAGAAUCGUGAAAGCCAAAAGACAAGGUUGGAAGGGAUUUACAGACCAAUCAAUCACUGCAUUUUACAUAGAGGAACAAGAUCACCUACAAGCCAUUUUCCUGAUAGUGAAAAAGACAGAUUUAUCCUGGGGAUUUUCAAACCAGUGUUCUGGGGAGCACUAGGGCUCAGGAGAAGGACCUCAGAGGCCAUCGGUAUGGAGGUAGUUCAAUCAGACCAGCCCUGUUCUAAUCUGUUUCAUGUUGUAGGCAUCUGGGUAAAAUUUGUGUGUGAAUAAAGUAUUCUGUUGCCUUAAUAAAACAGAAAAAUGAUGGAUCUCUCCAUACUUCUACAGAAAUAGUAGGCUUGGAAAGUUUCACUCAACAGUGUGCAAUGGUUUCACAUCAGCUGGGGGGGGUGGGGGCACACGGAUUGUAUAGCCCAGUGGCCAGUUCUGGGGCCAGGAUAAUUUUCUCCUUCCAUUAGGGCACUCACUACAUUACCUGGCAGCAAGAACUGCCUUAUUCAUCACCGGAUCCCCACAUACAUAGUGGAAUAGUGAUACACAGUGAUACAUAGUGAACAUAGUGAUACAUAGUCGAAACUCUGUAAACUAUAUCUGAAAGAUGGAAGGAGAGUUCCAAGAGGCUUUGAUGAAACAAUUUUUUAAAAAGAAGAUUAAGCUCAUUUGGGUUGAGCAAAGUAGCACACUUUGGCUGCGGUGACCCUAUGUCAAAGAAAUGGCUGGAAAGUUAUCAUUGUGUGUUUGUCCAUGUGUCCUCAAAUGGCCGUGGUGGAUUUGCCCUCCCCAACCCUUGGAUGGCAAAAAAUAAAUAAAAGGAUCAAAAAUAUGAA
Equus quagga is the source of this 2306-nucleotide long non-coding RNA. RefSeq lists it as uncharacterized. The record is from RefSeq and is a predicted model, not a curated record. The transcript has 3 exons. NCBI's taxonomy places the organism in Eukaryota, Metazoa, Chordata, Mammalia, Perissodactyla, Equidae.